AUUGAACGCUGGCGGCAUGCCUUACACAUGCAAGUCGAACGGCAGCACGGGAGCAAUCCUGGUGGCGAGUGGCGAACGGGUGAGUAAUAUAUCGGAACGUGCCCAGUCGUGGGGGAUAACGUAGCGAAAGCUACGCUAAUACCGCAUACGAUCUAUGGAUGAAAGCGGGGGAUCGCAAGACCUCGCGCGAUUGGAGCGGCCGAUAUCAGAUUAGGUAGUUGGUGAGGUAAAGGCUCGCCAAGCCGACGAUCUGUAGCUGGUCUGAGAGGACGACCAGCCACACUGGGACUGAGACACGGCCCAGACUCCUACGGGAGGCAGCAGUGGGGAAUUUUGGACAAUAGGGCGCAAGGCCUGAUCCAGCAAUGCCGCGUGCAGGAUGAAGGCCUU
Molecule: ribosomal RNA, 390 nt
Filed under: uncultured bacterium
Lineage: Bacteria
Description: bacterial SSU rRNA
Rfam family: Bacterial small subunit ribosomal RNA
Source: RNAcentral